This 493-nucleotide ribosomal RNA is filed under the name uncultured bacterium. RNAcentral describes it as "bacterial SSU rRNA". It matches the Rfam family "Bacterial small subunit ribosomal RNA", at positions 8 to 518 of the family's 1533-position model. The record is from RNAcentral.
AGAGUUGAUCCUGGCUUAGGACGAACGCUGGCGGCGUGCCUAACACAUGCAAGUCGAGCGAGGAGAUUCCUUCGGGAUGAUCCUAGCGGCGGACGGGUGAGUAACACGUGGGCAACCUGCCUCAUAGAGAGGAAUAGCCUUCCGAAAGGGAGAUUAAUACCUCAUAACAUUGCAGUUUCGCAUGGAACAGCAAUUAAAGGAGCAAUCCGCUAUGAGAUGGGCCCGCGGCGCAUUAGCUAGUUGGUGAGGUAACGGCUCACCAAGGCGACGAUGCGUAGCCGACCUGAGAGGGUGAUCGGCCACAUUGGGACUGAGACACGGCCCAGACUCCUACGGGAGGCAGCAGUGGGGAAUAUUGCACAAUGGGGGAGACCCUGAUGCAAGCAACGCCGCGUGAGUGAUGACGGCCUUCGGGUUGUAAAGCUCUGUCUUCAGGGACGAUAAUGACGGUACCUGAGGAGGAAGCCACGGCUAACUACGUGCCAGCAGCGGC